This is a long non-coding RNA of Lutra lutra (Eurasian river otter), 1257 nucleotides long. RefSeq lists it as uncharacterized. The record is from RefSeq and is a predicted model, not a curated record. The transcript is spliced from 3 exons. Lineage: Eukaryota; Metazoa; Chordata; Mammalia; Carnivora; Mustelidae.
GGGGUCCGGCGCGCUCCCGGGCCUAGCCGGGCGCGGGGUCGGGGGCGCGGCCGAGGCGGGGGGUCCGGGACGCAGGGUUCAGGGACUCAGGACGGCCGGGCCGCUGCCGGCGUGGGGAGGAACGCGGCGGCUUCGGGGCGCUCGCCUUCUGCGGGGUCCGUGGUGACUCAACGCCCUCAGCCCGACGUCGCCGGCGGGGAGCUGCCGCCGCUGCGCCCUCGCCUCCGCCCCGCCCCCCCGGAGGCCGGCCCCGGGCCCGCCCCUCCCCCGCCCGCGGGUCUGGACCUGCGACCCGCGCGCCGGAGCGCCUUUCUGCGGACGCCCCGGCGCGCGGGGUGGGGGGAGCCCGGCCCGUCCGGAGCGGGUCGGAACCGCGGGCUUCUGCGGCUCGUGAAACGUCUCGCUGAUCUUUCUUGGCUUUUUUAAGACUUUCUGUACUUGUGCGAGCGGCACAGGCGGGGGACGCGCAGAGGCGGGGGCACGGGCGCGGCGCGGUCCCCGGACCCAGGACCCCAGCCGGAGGCAGACGCCCGCGACCGAGCCCCGGGGCUCAAACGGCGCUUCUCGGGAAGGUCAGCUCUGCCCUCGGGCGGCGCGCGCGCUCGAAGCCGUCGGACGGGCCCGCCGUGUGAGCCGAAGGGCCGGGGCGUCCGGCGCGGGUGCGGGGACCCGUGGGGCCUGCAGGGGCUCGAGGGUCCCUGUUGGUGUCAGUUCCGUGUCCAGCCGGGAAGGAGCGAAACCCCUUCUCGUGCGUGAUUCCUGCGUCGCACUCGUGGGCCGCACACUUUCCUGCUUUGUUUCCGCGACGUGCGCUCCGCAAAGGUCCCCGAUGUUCUCCUGGAGCUUCUGAAGACGCGGGUCUGCGCCCCAGUGACGAGCGCGGCGGCACCGGCGGACUCGGGCCCUGGAACUCGCUGGCCCGCGGCGGGGCGUUCUCCUGUUGGAAAACAAGCUCUUUGAGGAGCACCUGCUGGCGCGUUCGUGGAGCACGCGAGUCCCUUCCUCUGCGGUUUGCCUUCUACUGAUGGAACUUUUGAGUUGAAAAAUCCUCUUUUCAGCCAUCUCCAGUCUCCAGAAAAUUCAAUGAGCUCUUCAUUUCAGAGACAGAGAUAGCGGGAACAGGAACACAAGGAGGCGGACUGGGAGAGGGAGAAGCAGACUUCCUGAUGAGCAGGGAGCCCGAUGUGAGACUCGAUCCCAGGACCCUGGGACCAUGACCUGAGCUGAAGGCAGAUGCCCAACAGACUGAGCCACCCA